UACGGGGGGGGCAAGCGUUGUUCGGAAUUACUGGGCGUAAAGCGCACGUAGGCGGAUGUGUCAGUCAGGGGUGAAAUCCCGGGGCUCAACCUCGGAACUGCCUUUGAUACAGCACGUCUCGAGUCCGGAAGAGGUGGGUGGAAUUCCUAGUGUAGAGGUGAAAUUCGUAGAUAUUAGGAAGAACACCGGUGGCGAAGGCGGCCCACUGGUCCGGUACUGACGCUGAGGUGCGAAAGCUAGGGGAGCAAACGGG
Molecule: ribosomal RNA, 253 nt
Filed under: uncultured bacterium
Lineage: Bacteria
Description: partial 16S ribosomal RNA
Rfam family: Bacterial small subunit ribosomal RNA
Source: RNAcentral